Long non-coding RNA from Rhagoletis pomonella (apple maggot), 367 nucleotides. RefSeq lists it as uncharacterized. The record is from RefSeq and is a predicted model, not a curated record. The transcript has 3 exons. Lineage: Eukaryota; Metazoa; Arthropoda; Insecta; Diptera; Tephritidae.
CUCGUUUUCAAAGUGUUUUCGUUGUCGGUCAGAACAUGGUGCAUUUAUUUUACGAUAUUAGGAGCAAUCUGAAAUUUCCAUUUUUCAUCCCUGUGUCUUUCACACAAUAGACGACAAUAACCAAUGGGAAAGGGCGAAGAAAAGCCGAACUCGACUCCCGAACCACACUCGUACUCGAAACGACACUCGCAAUGAGGCUGAAUCAGCUGUGUUUCGUUAUUUUUCUCACAACUUACGGAAAAGCUAAAUUUCUUCGCGGGGCCACUGUGAUCAAUUACGGCUAAAUCAAGCAAUUUAAAUUAAUAAACUAGAAAACUACGUUGGACACCAAAAAGUUAUCGAAAUAUUUCGUAAUUACAGAUUACUG